UAUCUACUUGGUCGUACGUCUAAUCGGAUAACCGUAGUGAUUCUAGAGCUAAUACGUGCGAAAAACCGAGACUGUUCGCCCUUCGGGGUCAUGGAAGAGGGGUAUUUAUUAGGUUUAAAAUCAAUACGGGGCAUCCCAAACUGCAUCAGAGUCUCUCGAGGCUUUGGUACGGGCUCCGGUCGGAGGGUGAUUCAUAAUAACUUGGCGAAUCGCAGGUCCUGGCGCCGGCGAUGACGCAAACGAGUUUCUGACCUAUCAACUGUCGACGGUGCGGCAGGGGCGCACCAUGGUAGCGACGGGUAACGGGGAAUUAGGGUUCGUUUCCGGAGAGGGAGCCCGAGAAACGGCUACCACUUCCAAGGAAGGCAGCAGGCGCGCAAAUUACCCAAUCUCGAUUCGAGGAGGUAGUGACAAGAAAUACCAAUGUAGGACCCUAUGGGUACUAUGUUUGGAAUGAGUACGAUCUAAACACCCUAACCAGGAACAAUUGGAGGGCAAGUCUGGUGCCAGCAGCCGCGGUAAUUCCAGCUCCAAUAGCGUAUGUUAAAGUUGCUGCAGUUAAAAAGCUCGUAGUUGGGUUUCGGAGCACACCGGUCACGACCGCACCCUAGGUGCGUGUUGGACCUCUUGUUCCUAUCUUUUGGCGAUGCGGCUCCGUCCAUUAACUUGGAAGCGCAGGCGUUCCGACUCGUUUACUUUGAAAAAAUUAGAGUGUUUAAAGCAGGCGUAACCCGGGCUCGAAUACAUUAGCAUGGGAUAAUGAAAGAUGGCUUUAGUCUUCGUUUUGUUGGUUUCCUAGUCCCGAGGGCAUGAUUGAUAGGGAUAGUUGGGGCCGCUCGUAUUCGAGUGUCAGAGGUGAAAUUCUAGGAUUAACUCAAGACGGACUAGUGCGAAAGCAUUCGGCAAGGAUGUUUUCGUUAAUCAAGAACGAAAGUUGGGGGAUCGAAGAUGAUCAGAUACCGUCGUAGUCUCAACCGUAAACCAUGUCGACCGAGGGCCCGGAAAUGUUACAUGGAUGACUCUCCCGGCACUCUGUGAGAAAUCACAAGUAUUUGGAUUCCGGGGGGAGUAUGGUCGCAAGGCUGAAACUUAAAGGAAUUGACGGAAGGGCACCACCAGGAAGUGGAACCUGCGGCUUAAUUUGACUCAACUCGGGGAAACUCACCAGGUCCGGACACGGCAAGGACUGACAGAUUGAUAGCUCUUUCUUGAUUCCGUGGAAAGUGGUGCAUGGCCGUUUUUAGUUGGUGGAGUGAUUUGUCUGGUUAAUUCCGUUAACGAACGAGACCUUAACCUAUUAAAUAGUUACGCGAACUUUGACCUUCGGGUCUUUGCGUUCGUGGUAGACUUCUUAGAGGGACCCUUCACCCCUAGUGAAAGGAAGUUUGAGGCAACAACAGGUCUGUGAUGCCCUUCGAUGUUCUGGGCCGCACGCGCGUUACAAUGACGUGUUCAACGAGCCACCUCCUCGCCCGAAGGGGCUUGGAAACCUUUUAAAGAUGUGUCGUGAUUGGGAUAGAUCAUUGCAAUUAUUGUUCUCG
RNAcentral lists this ribosomal RNA (1541 nucleotides) under uncultured Arcellinida. Its description in RNAcentral is "SSU rRNA". It matches the Rfam family "Eukaryotic small subunit ribosomal RNA", at positions 114 to 1601 of the family's 1831-position model. Lineage: Eukaryota; Tubulinea; Elardia; Arcellinida. The record is from RNAcentral.